GACGAACGCUGGCGGCGUGCUUAACACAUGCAAGUCGAACGGAAAGGCCCUGCUUUUGUGGGGUGCUCGAGUGGCGAACGGGUGAGUAACACGUGAGUAACCUGCCCUUGACUUUGGGAUAACUUCAGGAAACUGGGGCUAAUACCGGAUAGUAGCUCCUGCUGCAUGGUGGGGGUUGGAAAGUUUCGGCGGUUGGGGAUGGACCCGCGGCUUAUCAGCUUGUUGGUGGGGUAGUGGCUUACCAAGGCUUUGACGGGUAGCCGGCCUGAGAGGGUGACCGGCCACAUUGGGACGGAAAUACGGCCCGGACUCUAAGGGGAGGCAGCGGUGGGGAUUAUUGCACAAUGGGCGGAAGCCGAAGGCGGCAACGCGGCGUGCGGGAUGACGGCCUUCGGGUGGUAAACCGCUUUCGCCGGUGACGAGGCGUGAGUGACGGUAAUGGGUAAAGAAGCACCGGCUAACUACGUG
Molecule: ribosomal RNA, 468 nt
Filed under: uncultured bacterium
Lineage: Bacteria
Description: partial 16S ribosomal RNA
Rfam family: Bacterial small subunit ribosomal RNA
Source: RNAcentral